This is a long non-coding RNA of Acinonyx jubatus (cheetah), 1922 nucleotides long. RefSeq lists it as uncharacterized. The record is from RefSeq and is a predicted model, not a curated record. The transcript has 3 exons. Lineage: Eukaryota; Metazoa; Chordata; Mammalia; Carnivora; Felidae.
CCGAAUUGUAGCCCUGAGGCCCCACGGAGCAGGUCUGAGUCUGAGGAUGUCCCUCAGGUACUCAGCGAGCUCGGUUCAGGCCUCCCCUGCUCUAGCAAGGGACACCCCCUGCAGCCCGCCGGGGCAAACACCGCGGGGUCUUCUGGAUCCUUCUUCCCUGAUCUGGUCCCAGCUUGUCUCGACCCGUCGUUGAGAAGGGAGGUGCCCGGAACUGAAAAGGAUGGCCGUCUGCAUGCUCAUCGGUCCUACAGAAUGGAACCCAAAUGCCAGGCUGACAACAAGGAGCAAGACAGACUCCGGCCAUCAUGAAGCUCCCGUCCUGGUAGAGGGGUGGGGGAUGUGGGGAAAUGAACGAGGACAACAUCAGACAGUGACGCUCCGCAGAGCGGAAGCAGGUCCGACGACGAGGCAUGACCAGAGGCCAGGUGGCCUCUGUGAGGGGCUGACAUUCGUGCUGAGAUCUGAGUGACGAGAACAGCUGAAGCGAAGUCCCCAGUGCAGCAGCAGACCCCCUUCUCUGCCGCCUUUCGAAGAGGGAGAGGCGGAGGAGGAAGGACUCAGCGAGCCUCUUCCACACCCGUCCCCACAAGAGCGGGCCCCUUGAGUGCUCUCUCCCUCCUCGUGUCCUAGGGCAGGUGGCUGAAGUAGCCUGGAAGUCCCCUUCCCCACACCUGAGCAGCUGGAAUGGAGGCCCCUGGCUCCCUGCUCUGCUUCCUCCUGCAUCUCGAAAGAACCUUCCCAGAGCACAGAUGGGACGGUGCACCUCCUCUGAUUUAAAACCUCCCUUUGAUCUUCUGGGGAAAAAACGGUGCACUCAGAACGCACAGAUGAUACUCCUUAUCGAAAACAAGCUGUUCCGGGCACCGCUGCCUUAGCAGAGACCGUAACCGACUUGUCCAAGGUCACAGGGCUGGUGACUGCCUCCACUGGGAUUUGAAAAGAAUUCCAAACUCAUGACAGUCGAGGCCAGCUGUCACGGGGCCCCUCCAGCGUCUCCCCUGCCUCCCAGGGAGUGGGGAUGCCCCAAAAGGCAGGGCGCGUCCCGCCAUCAUGCUUUUAGCCUCUGCCAAGAACGCUUUCUCACCUGUUGGAGGUUUCCCCACCUCCAGUACCCAGCACGAAGCCACCCCUCAGCGUCUCAUGACCCUGGAAUCCAUCGACGACACACCUGCCUCCCACUGUCUUUGCAUAUGGUUGUUUCUGCCCACCUCUCGUCCCCCUCCGAGGGCAGAGGCUGGUGCGACAUUUCCCUCCGUGUCCUCACAGACCCGCGAUAAGGUGGUGGCUCCAGGAUGGGUGUCCCCACCACCACCGCCGUCUCCAUCGUGCUGUCACGACCAUGAGGCUCUGGACGUGGGAGAGCACGCCUCCCCCCAGAGCACGGACAGCCCCCUCCCCAACAUUUGACUUCCCGCUGGGUCAGAGGUCAAGUAGGCAGAAAGGCAGCAGAAAGCCGAGUUGGGGAAGUGCCUGGCACCAGAGUCUCCGGGUGGCAGAGUGGGUCCUGGGGCUGGCAGGUCACCAAGCAGAGCACCAUUUGUUCCCAAACAGAGUGACUCAGACCUGAUUCGUGCCCCAGCACCUCCCACCGCGGGGACCCGUGACGACCAGUGCCUGCUUCCUGGGAUUCCUGUGCACAGGCUGUGCCCGUCUGCCCCGUGGAGCAAAGGAGGGGUUGGGGGUGUGGGCACCUGGAGAGUCAUGGUUUCCAGGGGUGCCCUGGGGCAGUGCUCCUUACCCUUGGCUUCUCAUUCUUGGCCACACGAGCACCUGGGAGCGCAAAACAGGUGGUCAAGCCUGGGCCCCCGGACCGAGUUGGGGGUCAGAACAUCAGGGGACCCACGUAUGGCCUUUCUCAGCAGCUCUCUGGUGCUUCAGUCGUGUGACUGAGACAGGAAUCACUGGGCUCCAGGUGCGCCUGG